Molecule: small RNA, 358 nt
Filed under: uncultured fungus
Lineage: Eukaryota; Fungi
Description: eukaryotic LSU rRNA
Rfam family: 5.8S ribosomal RNA (bases 1-99)
Source: RNAcentral
CUAUAUCAAUGUGAAUAGCAGAAUAUCCGUGAAUCAUCGAGUCUUUGAACGCACAUUGCGCCUCAUGGUAUUCCGUGAGGCAUGCCCAUCUCAGCGUUAGUAGAUAUUAUCAAAUAUUGACAUUGUUAAUAUUUGGAUCUUGUCGAGGAAGCUAUUACUAUUAAUGUGGAUAGCUCCUUGGAAAUUCAUAGGUCUUCAAGUUGCUACCAUUGGAACGUGAUGAAAAUUCUGUCGUUCAUAUGUAGUUCACUUGUAUAGUUCCAAACAAAACUUAUAUACCUUUCUGGUAUUUUUUCAAUUUGACCUGAGAUUGGGUAGGGAUACCCGCUGAACUUAAGCAUAUACAAUAAGCGGAGGA